This 2965-nucleotide long non-coding RNA is filed under the name Podarcis lilfordi (Lilford's wall lizard). Lineage: Eukaryota; Metazoa; Chordata; Lepidosauria; Squamata; Lacertidae. The record is from RNAcentral.
AUACAACAUACAAUGUUAUAAUAAAAUCAGCAAAUGCAUCCAUAAAACAUCGUGAAAAAUAUCAACAAAGCAUGUAUCUUCCAAAGGAUGUUUAAAAGAAUAGAGUGGAGACUCCUGCCAAAUCUCUGCUGAAGGACAACUGAACCACAAGGGCACGGGGGCCCUCAAGAAGCACCCCAUCAGAGGAUAUUUGUGCAAGGUGAUAGCACCAAAUUUUUGGACAAUACAUUUCCCUGUGCUUCUGUAAUAUUAAUUGUCACAGAUAAUGCAGAUUGUAUGUGUAAAUCCAGUAACGGGCUUCCCACCCCUUCCUGGAGAGGUGAGAAUUUCCUUGCAUCUAAGAAAGUGUUGGGCAAAUGCUCUGCCACUGAGCUUUGGUCCUUCCCUUAAGACACAGGAAAAUAGGAAGCGGACUUGCACUGAGUCAGACCAAAUAACAGCUUCAGAGAAGUGUGUGGGAAGGAUUGUGACAGCGGUAGAAAUAAUUGAACUUCUACUCUCCAGCAGUUCCAGUGUUGAUCAGGCUUCUCCAGGGCAACUAUUUACACAACAACAACAACGUGCUUGGUAAAUUUGCAUUCACAUAAUUAAUAUUACAUUUUAUGCAAGUUUUGUGGCCCUGUUCAAUGAUACAACCCUUUUGGGCUCUGAUUCCAAAUGUGAUUGAUAAAACGGCUGGUUGUUUCAUACCACAAAAUCCCUAAAUAGUUUCUGAGUUAUCUUAAGGAUUUGAUUAAUGAUGUUGAUCUUGAAGUGGUUGUAAACCUACUUUACGGCUGCCAACAUGUUUACAGCAGCAAAUUGGAAGAAAGCACUUGUUCUGUUGAUGUCUGAAUGGCAUCCGGGAAGACAGAACAGGGCAAUUUUAUCCAAAUUAACCUGCUGUGGAAAUUAAUAGACAAACAAGUUUACUGGAGUAUGGAAUUUGUUUGCAGUGUUUUGGAAGAGUGAAUUCCAAGAUGACUUGGACAAUACUUUUUCUUUUUUCUUUGUGUAUGACAAGCAUCUACCACCUGCACUUUUCAGAAGCAUCCAAAGGCAUUGUUGCUCCUGCAGGCUUUCCCAGAUGGAUAGGUAAAGGUAAAGGGACCCCUGACCAUUAGGUCCAGUCGUGGACGACCCUGGGGUUACGGCGCUCAUCUUGCUUUAUUGGCCGAGGGAGCCGGCGUACAGCUUCCGGGUCAUGUGGCCAGCAUGACUAAGCCGCUUCUCGCGAACCAGAGCAGCGCACGGAAACGUCGUUUACCUUCCCGCCAGAGCAGUACCUAUUUAUCUACUUGCACUUGACGUGCUUUCGAACUGCUAGGUUGGCAGGAGCAGGGACCGAGCAACAGGAGCUCACCCCACUGCGGGGAUUCGAACGGCCGACCUUCUGAUCGGCAAGUCCUAGGCUCUGUGGUUUAACCCACAGCGCCACCCGUGGGUCUUUACCAUAAGUGUCCAUUCUUUGAGUUUUAGUCUUGUUAUAAAUUUACUUUUUUUGUGUUCUAACUUUUUAAAAUUAUCUUUCGUGCGAAUCACAUUGAGAUAGUGGUUUAGAAGACAAUUAAUAAAGCAACAGUAUUAUUAUUAUUAUUAUUAUUAUUAAUAAUAAUAAUAAUAAUCCACAACAGGUUAGUCAUUGUCCAUAAAAGGUUAUGUCAUAGUAAAUGUCUAGGGCUUUAAGGUAGCACAAGACUCUUGGUCAUAUACCUCAAGUACAGGUUACUGUGUGUAAUGUAUGUAAUUUGAUUUUAAGUACAAUUUCCAUCAGUGUUGAGGAUGAUGUUAACAAUAGCAAACAAUGCCUUCAGAGAGGUAAUCUCCCCUCCCUGCCCUGGGAACUUGGCAGGGAUAGCAAGAAUCAAACUCUCUCCAUCCCAUAAUCCUAAAUCUAGUCAGGUUUCCCAAGAAUUGCUAUUUACAUAACAAAAACAUGCAUGUUAAUUGGGAUUCACACACUUCUGCCAGCCAAGAACUAACCAUAUACUUGGUUUAGCCAAGUACAGUACGCAGAAAGCUGUUAAACUGGUUCAACACAUAAACUAUAAAAGCCUAACACCUAUAUAAGGGAGUAUGCCACGGUCUUCUAUCUGCACCUAAAUCUAUUGAGCUUUAAACCACUGAUAUGGGAGAAACACAGUUCAUUUCAAAUGGCUUUCAACCAGCCUUUGCCAACCUGGUCCUAGCACCAUCUAGAUGUUGGACUAUAACUCCCAUCAGUCCCAGCCAUUCAGGGCUGGAGUUGAUGAGAGUUGAAGUCCAAAACAUCUGGAUGGUGCAAGGUUGGAGACGGGUGGUUGAAAGCCAUCUGAAAUGAACUGCAUUUCUCCCAUGCAAAGGAAUGGUAAACAAUAGUUGCUUUGCCAACUGGUCUGGGAAACCAAACUGCAGCAAAGAGAGCAUUUUUAUCAAGCUUUGCUGAGACAACAAGAACAAGUUGGAUUCCUUAGGACUGAACUCUUUCUUUUUCCCUUUCAAUCCAGCCCACAAGGGGGAAGUGGAGGUUAACUUAGCAAAGGUGUCCAGAGAAAUGUCGUCCGCCCCCAAACCCCUCCAACUUCACAAUGAAACAUCUGCUGCUAAGAGUCUGCAUCAUUCUCAAUACUUGACCCAUCCUAGCCUGUGUAUAUCUCAUCAACAUGCCUAGGAAGAAAGCCAGUCUUCUGAAACAAUCUGUCAUCAAAAUUGUCACCAUGGAACAAUGAAACUGCCGCUGGUUCUCCGCAACCUCAUUAAUUCGUUUUCUGGGGGAACAGAUGUGUACCUGUCUUAGGUGAGACUUUGCACCAUCCCAAAUCCCUUCCAGCCACAUGCUGUUACCUUGCUGGCAAAUCAUCACUAUCAUCAACAGUCAGACAUGUUGCUUGCUGCAGAUUGGUUAUGGAGCUUCAAAGCAUUCCCCCGGAAGAAAAGGAAAAACAAACACAAAAUCCGUACAAUUUAUAAUGCCGGCAUUACGAUAUUUUAUAGAUUAUGAAUGCUG